Molecule: long non-coding RNA, 408 nt
Filed under: Zonotrichia albicollis (white-throated sparrow)
Lineage: Eukaryota; Metazoa; Chordata; Aves; Passeriformes; Passerellidae
Description: lncRNA (ENSZALG00000004059.1)
Source: RNAcentral
AUAAUAUAUUUUCUUAUGUUUCUAUUUAGUGUUCUGUCCACAGCCUCCUCACUGGUCUCGCUUUUUUGAAGAGUGGUGCUCAGCACUGGACAACAGUUGCUGGACCCAAAUAACCUGGAAAAUCAGCUUUUCUUCUUGGGAACAGCUGCUGCUGGUGAAGCUUUUGCAGGAUGCAGACUGUGAAAUCUGGGGCCAUUUUGUAUUUCCCUGUUGUUCCAGCUCAGGAGCAAGCUCCAGUCGAGUUCCUUGCACUUCUUGGACCAGGUAGUCUGUCAUCAGCCCAGGUGCCACACAGAUGGACUUCGAGGAGCAGGGAAGCAACCUUUGAGAGCUGGUUCACUUGCACAGCUGGCAAUAAAAGGCUGUGUGUCAGAAAGCAUUAUGGACCUGAUAAGACCCUGUGACUUG